Molecule: long non-coding RNA, 827 nt
Organism: Suricata suricatta (meerkat)
Lineage: Eukaryota; Metazoa; Chordata; Mammalia; Carnivora; Herpestidae
Exons: 2
Source: RefSeq, a predicted model, not a curated record
CUCUAGACUGACAAUUGGACACUUACCUACUAGUGACACCCACUAUAGCCCCAUUGUGACCUCACAUAGUCUGUAGAGAGACCCUAGCUACUCAGCCAGCUAAAGACCAGCUACAGUUAUGACCAGAUGCACUUGCUCCUUCAUCUCUCUGACAGAACAGAUAUAUGUUGGUUCCAGGCCCGCCCCCCCCUUACUUUCCACUCUGGUCCUUAAAACCACGCCAUCUGCAGAGAAGACUAGCACGGCAGAGAGGAUCCCAUUUCAGAACUGUUUCAGACAUCUCAACACUAAUGUUGGAAGCCAGAGAUGAAUGGAACAAUAACUUCAAGAUUCUGAAAAUAAUGAUUUCCAAUCUGGAAUUCGAUAUCCAGCAAUCCAGUGUGAAGAUAAACGUUGAAGUCUCAAAAUAUUUAUGUCCCAAACAUCAUAUCAGGAAGAAACUGGAAGAUGUGCUCCGUCAAAUGGAAGGAAUAAAGCAAGAGAUCCAGGAGAUGGGAAGGUGCAGGACAGCAAGUCUAGAGAACACCCAGUCUACAUGGGUGCAAGGUGGUGGAAGGCUUUGGGAGGUGCACCUCUGACAGAGAGAUGGACUCUGUAUAUUUUUGUGAUGUAUUCGAAAUAUUGAAAAGAGAAUUACACUUCUGGGGAAGAAUUUGGGAAUGAAUUAGUGACAGGUGCCUAGAAAAUUAAGCAAACAAACACUGAGGCAAUCAACUCUAGUAAAUAUUUUUAUUAUUCAUUCCAGUAUACAGUGUUAUAUUAGUUUCAGAUGUUCAGUGUAGUGAUUCAACACUUCAUACAACACCAGCAACACUUGGUGCUCAUGA